RNAcentral lists this ribosomal RNA (1588 nucleotides) under Triparma laevis. RNAcentral describes it as "bacterial SSU rRNA". It matches the Rfam family "Bacterial small subunit ribosomal RNA". Lineage: Eukaryota; Bolidophyceae; Parmales; Triparmaceae. The record is from RNAcentral.
AAUUAUUUGAGUUUGAUCCUGGCUCUGGAUGAAUGCUAGUGGUAUGCCUAAUACAUGCGAGUCGAGCGAAAAAUCUUUUCGCGGCGGACGGGUGAGUAACACGUGAGAAUUUACCUUUUAGUUUUGGAACAAGUAGCUUUAUGUUAUAAAAGAAGACUUUCGAGUCAUAUGAAUUCCAAUAUAUACAUUAUGAUAUAUAGAGUUUUACUUGCUAAAAGAUAAGCUUGCGCAAGAUUAGGUAGUUGGUGGGGUAAAAGCCUACCAAGCCAUCGAUCUUUAGCUGACUUGAGAGAGUGAUCAGCCACAUUGGAACUGAGACAAGGUCCAAGCUUUUUAAGCCAGCAGUAUGGAAUAUUAGACAAUGAACGAAAGUUUGAUCUAGCAAUACCACCUGAAUGAUGACAACUAAUUUGGUUGUAAAGUUCUUUCAUCAAAGAAGAUUGUGACGGUAUUUGAAGAAGAAGUCCCGGCUAAUCUCGUGCCAGCAGCCGCGGUAAUACGGGAGGGGCAAGCAUUAUCCAUAAUAAUUGGGCGUAAAGCGUUCGUAGACGGUAUUAUCAGUCUUUUGUUAAAUUCCGGAGCUCAACUCCGGCACGGCAUUAGAUACUGUUUUACUAUGAGUUUAAAAGAGAAAAGCAGAAUUUUACAUGGAGAGGUGGAAUUCUGAGAUAUGUAAAGGAAUACCAUAGGCGAAGGCGGCUUUUUGGUUUAAACUGACGUUGAGGAACGAAAGCGUAGGUAGCGAGCAGGAUUAGAUACCCUAGUAGUCUACGCCGUAAACGCUGAGUGCUCAGAUUUCGAUAUAAGUAUCGGAGUCUCCUAGUUAACACGUUAAGCACUCCGCCUGAAGAGUAUAUCCGCAAGGACGGAAUUCAAAGGAAUAAGCGGGGUUAAAUACAAGCAGUGGGGUAUAUGGUUUAAUGCGAUAAUACGCGCGAAACCUUACCAGACCUUGACAUCUUAAUGAGAAUUUAUUUUAUUGAUAAAUUAAAAUUAAACUUGAAAAGUUUAGUAUAAUCAUUUAAGACAGGUAUUGCAUGGCUGUCGUCAGCUCGUGUCGUGAGAUGUUUGGUUAAGUCCUUUAACGAGCGCAACCCUUAUUUUUAGUUGUAUUAUUUCUUUAUGAGUAAUUAUUCUAAAAAAAUUGCUGGCAAUAAGUCAGAUGAAAGUAAGGAUGACGUCAAGUCCUCAUGGUCCUUAUGGUCUGGGCUACACAUAUGCUACAAUGGUAAUGACAAUUAGCUACAACUCUGAAAAGAAAAGUGAAUCUAAAAAAAUUAUCGUAGUUCGGAUUGUUGGCUGCAACUCGCCUACAUGAAGUCGGAAUUGCUAGUAAUCGCAAAUCAUCACGUUGCGGUGAAUCUGUACCUUUAACUUACAUUCAUUGCCCAUCACAUGCUGAGAAUUGCUUUUACUUGAAGUUUAAGUUUUAAUCUAUGUUAAUAAAAAAGUUGUGUAUUUAUUUCUGUUUUAAACAAAAAAAAAGGUUUUUUAAGUUAGUCUAGAAAAAACUAAACUAGAGCGAAAGUGGUGAUUGGUAUGAAGUUGUACCAAAGUAAUCGUAAGGGAACUUGCGGUUGGGACGAAU